This 183-nucleotide unclassified non-coding RNA is filed under the name soil metagenome. Its description in RNAcentral is "partial contains 5.8S ribosomal RNA, internal transcribed spacer 2, and large subunit ribosomal RNA". The record is from RNAcentral.
AAGACUAUAGACCUGCGGAGUACCUGCGGAAGGAUCAUUAACGAACGGUCGUCAGACCUUCAAACCCUUCAAACCGUGUGGAAGUAGAUUGUGCUUCGGCGCUUCGGCGCCGCUUUUAUGCAGAAACAAAGCCUUGUGUCUGAGCUGAAAGCGAAAACAGAAAACUUUUAGCAAUGGAUCUCU